Poecilia latipinna (sailfin molly) is the source of this 731-nucleotide long non-coding RNA. RefSeq lists it as uncharacterized. The transcript has 4 exons. Lineage: Eukaryota; Metazoa; Chordata; Actinopteri; Cyprinodontiformes; Poeciliidae. The record is from RefSeq and is a predicted model, not a curated record.
AAGACGACUCUCCUCUCGGCAGUGGUAAAGUGACCUCUGUUGCUAACUGCUAGUCUGCUAUUGAACCAUGCCUCCUCCUGUCGCAGUGUCGCCUUUGAUAAAGACAGCCAGGUAUUCAGCUUUAAUUGCUGGCAUUGUCUACGGUAAACGGCGAUAUGAUUAUCUGAAGCCUAUUGCAGCCGAAGAAAGGAGGAUUGAGGAGGAGGAGAAGAAAGUUCGACAGGAGCAGGAGAGGAUUGCCAAGGAGUUAGCAGAAGCUGAAGACACCAUCCUGAAGUAAACCUCUGGACUGUCCUUUGGAGAUGUCCUCCUUCUUGUGCACUGUCCAACCUCUUCCUCCUCUUCCUGGAGUAACGGUGGCAAAGUCAGGCCACACUGCUUCACUGCUGUUUCAUGGAAGUGUCACUGUCACAAUGAAAACAACUCCCCUCCUCUGGUUUCCCAGAAACUCUAAUUUAGUUACAUGAGAAGGAAUAACUUCAAAUGCAGCUACACUCAGAAAUUUAUGUUGAUAUUUGAAUUGAAGAAAUUUCAUAAAUACAGAAGGACAUAAAAUAUAAAAUGUAUUUUUUUUUCUCCCCCAUAACUGUUCAGUUGAUUGUUGGUGCAACAAUGUUAAAGAGGAACCGGGUACAUUUACUUUAAACACCUUUCAGAUCUCUGGCUCUUUGUACAGCAUCAUAAAUAAUUUUGUUCUUUAAAUGUAUUAAAAAAUAAAUACAUGGCAUUGC